Molecule: transfer RNA, 87 nt
Filed under: Dipodomys ordii (Ord's kangaroo rat)
Lineage: Eukaryota; Metazoa; Chordata; Mammalia; Rodentia; Heteromyidae
Source: Rfam by way of RNAcentral
GGCACUGUGGCUCAAGUGGUAGAGUGCUAGCCUUGAGUGCUAGCCUUGAGUGCUAGCCUUGAGCUGAAGAGCUCAGGGACAGUGCCC